Austrofundulus limnaeus is the source of this 387-nucleotide long non-coding RNA. RefSeq lists it as uncharacterized. Lineage: Eukaryota; Metazoa; Chordata; Actinopteri; Cyprinodontiformes; Rivulidae. The transcript is spliced from 3 exons. The record is from RefSeq and is a predicted model, not a curated record.
CAGCUGUGAUUAAAUAGUUUUAGCUGAAGGAAUAUUACAAAUAAAAUUAUCUUUUAACAUAAUCUUAAAACAUGCGGGCUAGUCGAUAAGAACAGGAAAAUUAGCUUUAUUUGGCAUUUAAAGCAAUUUUUAAACAUUUUUUAAACAGCCUGUUUAUCGGUUGAAGAACUGGGCAUCAUGUUUUAUGGACACCUCGUUGAAGAUCUCCACAGAUGGUCUACAAGAAGAAAGGAGUUUUGGAGAUAAUUCUGAGCUCUGAUUUAAUGGAAGCCAAUGGGAGUUUGGGAGUGUACGGUCUGCCCUCUGCAGAGAUUUGAGAGAAGAUUUUAAGUCCUWCAGCAACAAGAGAUACACCGAGUGAAAAAAAUUGCAGCGCGGCAACGGUUG